AACGAACGCUGGCGGCAUGCCUAACACAUGCAAGUCGAACGAGACCUUCGGGUCUAGUGGCGCAUGGGUGCGUAACGCGUGGGAACCUGCCCUUAGGUUUGGAAUAACUCCCCGAAAGGGGUGCUAAUACCGGAUCAUGUCUUCGGACCAAAGAUUUAUCGCGUUUGGAUGGGCUCGCGUUGGAUUAGCUAGUUGGUAGGGUAAAAGCCUACCAAGGCGACGAUCCAUAGCUGGUUUGAGAGGAUGAUCAGCCACACUGGGACUGAGACACGGCCCAGACUCCUACGCGAGGCAGCAGAGGGGAAUAUUGCACAAUGGGCGAAGGCCUGAUCCAGCAAGGCCGCGUGAGUGAUGAAGGCCUUAGGGUUGUAAAGCUCUUUUACCCGGGAUGAUAAUGACAGUACCGAGAGAAUAAGCUCCGGCUAACUCCGUG
This 433-nucleotide ribosomal RNA is filed under the name uncultured bacterium. RNAcentral describes it as "partial 16S ribosomal RNA". It matches the Rfam family "Bacterial small subunit ribosomal RNA", at positions 29 to 507 of the family's 1533-position model. The record is from RNAcentral.